AGGACAUGGAAAUUAGUAUGUAAUUCAAUACGUAACCAGAAAAUUAAUAGAAAAGCAGAUAAACUGAAAAGAUUUCUUUCAAAGAUGUCAGUCAAGGGAUUGAUGAGUGUCAUUUUUCUUGUCCUUUUAGUUUCCUUGGUAGUCAGUGCUGCCGCUCAUGAUCGGAAACAUGUACAAAGGCGAGAAGCUACCACCAAUACUACAGCAGCGGGUCAUACCACCUCACGGCCUCAAAACGGAGCAGGUGCUUUUAUACCAUUCCUGACUAUUUCCUGGACAAUGGGCUUGACAUUCUUUGUUGGCUUGUUACUUCGAAUGUAAUC
Molecule: long non-coding RNA, 323 nt
Organism: Saccostrea cuccullata (small rock oyster)
Lineage: Eukaryota; Metazoa; Mollusca; Bivalvia; Ostreida; Ostreidae
Exons: 3
Source: RefSeq, a predicted model, not a curated record